RNAcentral lists this non-coding RNA (32 nucleotides) under Homo sapiens (human). Lineage: Eukaryota; Metazoa; Chordata; Mammalia; Primates; Hominidae. The record is from RNAcentral.
CCUUGGCGUCAUCACCUCACUGAUGAAGGUGU